RNAcentral lists this ribosomal RNA (468 nucleotides) under uncultured bacterium. Its description in RNAcentral is "partial 16S ribosomal RNA". It matches the Rfam family "Bacterial small subunit ribosomal RNA", at positions 28 to 507 of the family's 1533-position model. The record is from RNAcentral.
GAUGAACGCUGACAGAAUGCUUAACACAUGCAAGUCUACUUGAAUUUGGGUUUUUUAACUUAGAUUUGGGUGGCGGACGGGUGAGUAACGCGUAAAGAACUUGCCUCACAGCUAGGGACAACAUUUGGAAACGAAUGCUAAUACCUGAUAUUAUGAUUAUAAGGCAUCUUAGAAUUAUGAAAGCUAUAUGCGCUGUGAGAGAGCUUUGCGUCCCAUUAGCUAGUUGGAGAGGUAACGGCUCACCAAGGCGAUGAUGGGUAGCCGGCCUGAGAGGGUGAACGGCCACAAGGGGACUGAGACACGGCCCUUACUCCUACGGGGGGCAGCAGUGGGGAAUAUUGGACAAUGGACCAAGAGUCUGAUCCAGCAAUUCUGUGUGCACGAUGACGUUUUUCGGAAUGUAAAGUGCUUUCAGUUGGGAAGAAAAAAAUGACGGUACCAACAGAAGAAGUGACGGCUAAAUACGUG